RNAcentral lists this ribosomal RNA (489 nucleotides) under uncultured bacterium. RNAcentral describes it as "bacterial SSU rRNA". It matches the Rfam family "Bacterial small subunit ribosomal RNA", at positions 8 to 507 of the family's 1533-position model. The record is from RNAcentral.
AGAGUUUUGAUCAUGGCUCAGAUUGAACGCUGGCGGCAGGCUUAAUACAUGCAAGUCAAGGGGUCAGCAAUGGCACCGGCGGACGGGUGAGUAACGCGUACACAACCUACCUUUCAGAGGGGGAUAGCAUCUGGAAACGGGUGGUAAUACCGCAUAGUUUUGCGAGGUGGCAUCAUUUUGCAAAUAAAGCUACGGCGCUGAGAGAUGGGUGUGCGUAUGAUUAGGUAGUUGGUAGGGUAAAGGCCUACCAAGCCGACGAUCAUUAGGGGGUGUGAGAGCAUGGCCCCCCACACGGGUACUGAGACACGGACCCGACUCCUACGGGAGGCAGCAGUAAGGAAUAUUGGUCAAUGGACGGAAGUCUGAACCAGCCAUGCCGCGUGAAGGAAGAAGGCGCUCUGCGUUGUAAACUUCUUUUAUAUGGGAAGAAUAGGCGCGAUUUAUCGUGUUGUGACGGUACCAUAGGAAUAAGCACCGGCUAACUCCGUG